RNAcentral lists this ribosomal RNA (253 nucleotides) under uncultured bacterium. RNAcentral describes it as "partial 16S ribosomal RNA". It matches the Rfam family "Bacterial small subunit ribosomal RNA", at positions 524 to 776 of the family's 1533-position model. The record is from RNAcentral.
UACGGAGGUUGCAAGCGUUGUUCGGAUUUACUGGGCGUAAAGGGAGCGCAGGCGGUUAACUCAGUCUAAAGUGAAAGUCCGGGGCUCAACCCCGGAAGUGCUUUGGAUACUGGUUGACUUGAGUAUGUGAGAGGAGAGCGGAAUUCCAGGUGUAGCGGUGAAAUGCGUAGAUAUCUGGAGGAACACCGGUGGCGAAAGCGGCUCUCUGGCACAAAACUGACGCUGAGGCUCGAAAGCAUGGGGAGCGAACGGG